CGUAGGGUGCAAGCGUUAAUCGGAAUUACUGGGCGUAAAGCGUGCGCAGGCGGUCUUGCAAGACAGAUGUGAAAUCCCCGGGCUCAACCUGGGAACUGCAUUUGUGACUGCAAGGCUGGAGUGCGGCAGAGGGGGAUGGAAUUCCGCGUGUAGCAGUGAAAUGCGUAGAUAUGCGGAGGAACACCGAUGGCGAAGGCAAUCCCCUGGGCCUGCACUGACGCUCAUGCACGAAAGCGUGGGGAGCAAACAGGAUUAGAUACCCUGGUAGUCCACGCCCUAAACGAUGUCAACUGGUUGUUGGGAAGGUUCCUUCUCAGUAACGUAGCUAACGCGUGAAGUUGACCGCCUGGGAGUACGGCCGCAAGGUUG
RNAcentral lists this ribosomal RNA (369 nucleotides) under uncultured organism. RNAcentral's name for it is "bacterial SSU rRNA". It matches the Rfam family "Bacterial small subunit ribosomal RNA", at positions 526 to 896 of the family's 1533-position model. The record is from RNAcentral.